Long non-coding RNA from Homo sapiens (human), 2800 nucleotides. Ensembl annotates it as long intergenic non-protein coding RNA 2642. The record is from Ensembl. NCBI's taxonomy places the organism in Eukaryota, Metazoa, Chordata, Mammalia, Primates, Hominidae.
ACAGCAAGAGUUAUGUUACAAGGAUAGCAUAGACAGCCCUGCCUAUUGCAAGAGUAAUGCAUCAGGUGUGAAACAGAUCUUUAAUGCUGUGUGAAGCAGGCUCUUUUAAGGUCCAAUUAGUAUGGUGUCACCAAUAUAUGGAUCCAUGCGAUUGAUUAUCUGUGGAGUGUCCGGAUGGUCCAGGACCCUUCAGAUUAUAUUACGAUGGAGAACAGGAAAAUUAACCAAAACCUGGGCAAGACUGCGAAUGUGUGCUACUAUCCAUCCCAGGUGAAUGUGAACUUCUUUGGAUUCCCUUUAUUGAUGGGGAAUUAGGAGAACGCUUAUAUGCUACUGCUCUUCAGAGAACAAUUGAAACACCUAUUCAAGUUAGAGACCUACGUACCCUGCAAACCGACUGCUCCAUUCCCAGUUCUGGAGGCCGGAGUUGGAAAUCAGUUUCACUGGGCACACAUGGAGGUGUUUGAAGGGCUGCCCGUGCCAGAGGCUCUCAGGGAGAAUCCCUUCCUUGUCUGUUCCAGCUCUACCUCCUCCUCUGCUGUGGACAGUAUCUGGAAGGUACACCAGGAACUGCUGAGGAGUGGAACUAGGACUCUGAGACAAAAGGGGUUUGCUUUUCAUUUUAAACUGUAUUAUUAUUUGAAUUUUUUAAAAAUCAAGGACUGUUCAGGUGCAAUGGCUCAUGCCUGUAAUCUUAGCACUUUGGGAGGCUGAGGUGGGUGGAUCACUUGAGCCCAGGAGUUUGAGACCAGCCUGGACAACAUGGUAAGACCCUGUCUCUACAAGACAAAAAAAAAAAAAAAUGCCGAGCGUGAUGGUGUGUACGUGUGGUCACAUUUACUCAAGAGGCUGAGAUGGGAGGAUCACUUGAGCCCAGGAGGUUGAGGCUACAGUGAACUGGGAUUGUGCCACUGCACUCCAGCCUGGAUGAGAGAGUGAGACUCUGUCCUCCAAAAAGAAGUCAAGGACCAUGUGAUUUUCCUAAAUAGAGGGAGUAGGUUAUCACUACGUUACGGAAUAGGACAUUUAGCAAUGUUUAUUACUUACUGACUUAUAUUCAUGGCAGACCACAUCACAUUCUUUUUGAAUAUUCAUAUUGAGCCUGUUAUGAAGCAUUUCACAUAGGAAAAGCAAUGUGUGAAUCAAUGAGGAAAUGAAACUAUGUAUUUAUUGACGGUAUUUGUGAGAUAUGCAAGUGUGCAGAGUCUUCUGAUAACCUCAGAAUGCUGAUACAUUUAGCAAACCUCAUUCUUAAAGUUGGCCAGAUAAUGACUUAUUUUGCUGAAGUCUCCAAAAAAGCUGAGUUGUGAAGCCUUUGAAAAAGUAUCAAUGAACUUUUUCUUUCAGGUGGGGCUGAGCUGUUGUUCUAGAAGAAAAAAGGAUGUCUUGUCCUGUGUGAACUGGAACAGCGCUUAGAAAUCGAGGAGCGUGGCCCUGGGAACAGAGGCUGUGUGCUGUUGUUUUUGCUUCCUCAUUAAUGAGCAUGGGCCUUCAGUGAGCUCCUUUCCCUUGCUGGCCUUCAUUUGUAAAAUGUUGGCUGACGGCUAAGGGUGUUUAUUCCUCUAAAAUCACCUAAUUAGAAGAGAAGAAAGGAAAAUACAAAACAAAAUUAAAUAUAAGCAGCAUGUUCCACAUUUUAGACUUACUUAGAUUCUUAUCUCUCUGCAAUAAUCCUAAUGCUAAUUCACUUUCUCAGAGGUGUCCAGCGCAGGAUGGGCUUAGAUCAUCCGUGGAAUUGCUUGUUCUAUAAGCUUUAGUUACUUUGAUGACUGGAAGUAUGUAAGUUCAGAGACAUGCAUUAAAUACAUGUUUCUGGUUUUCCCCAAAUGACCCAUGGACAGAUAGGUGCCUGUAUUUAUUUUGUGUCAAAUUUCAUCUUAUUCAUUUAGUUGGAGACAUAGUUAUCUGAUGGGUUCUCUGGGGUAAUCAUUUAGAACUCCUGAACUUUAGCAAGAAGCUGUAAGAAAGUCCAAGUUCUUUUUCUUAAAACUUCAAAUAAGGUUCCCCAGUGAGUCUGGGGAAGGCCAUGACAUUGUCAGAAAAGCUGUUCCGUAUCUGUGCCUCCGAGGUUCCUGCACGGCACUGCUGAAUGGCCAAUUUGCUGCGAAUACGCAUCGAUCGUCUGAUGCACGGCGCUCUGCACUGAGGACACCGUGAAGAUGAACCGUGGUUCAUUCCAGGGGUUAGCUGAGUUCUGAAACUGGAAAGUGAACGACCAUUUAUCAGUAGGUGAAACAGAACUGUGCUGGAACACAGCCAGCGGGAGUUCAAUUAGGCAGAAACAAAUCGGGGGGAAAGGAAGGGAUGGCGUUCUGCAUGGGGCUCAGGCACCAUCUCCUUAGAAACGGCUGCUGCAAAGCCGCCGCAAUAAAUGCUCUGCUGAGUCUGUCCACAGCCCCACCCGGUAGAGAGGCCACUAAGGGACAAAGCCAGGAAACUCUGGCAGCUUUCUCUGCCACAGAAAGUGAACUGGUAGCAGCAAAGCUGGUUUAAAUACAUCUUAGAACAGAAAUAGGGAAGCUAGCUUCUUGGGGAGCUGUUCUGUGUUCUUGGCUUGUUUGUGUGUUUGGCAAGAAAUACAAUGGAAAAAGCCUCUCCUAUCAAACACAAAGGAUGCUUUCAUUAAGUCAUCCUUCCUUUUCAUUGGAUCAAAUGGUUUUCAAAAAUGGGAUUUCUGAUUCAAUUAAAUGAUGUGGGGAAAACUUGGGAGCUUCCAAUUAAGCUUAUUUUCCUCUCCUUUAAAAUUCCCUCCCCCCAUUUUUCUGGAUGUUUUAUAAUGUAUCUACUAUAUUCAUACAAU